This 503-nucleotide ribosomal RNA is filed under the name uncultured bacterium. Its description in RNAcentral is "partial 16S ribosomal RNA". It matches the Rfam family "Bacterial small subunit ribosomal RNA", at positions 30 to 523 of the family's 1533-position model. The record is from RNAcentral.
AUUGAACGCUGGCGGCAGGCUUAACACAUGCAAGUCGAGCGGGGUGAUGGUGCUUGCACUAUCACUUAGCGGCGGACGGGUGAGUAAUGCUUAGGAAUCUGCCUAUUAGUGGGGGACAACAUCUCGAAAGGGAUGCUAAUACCGCAUACGUCCUACGGGAGAAAGCAGGGGAUCACUUGUGACCUUGCGCUAAUAGAUGAGCCUAAGUCGGAUUAGCUAGUUGGUGGGGUAAAGGCCUACCAAGGCGACGAUCUGUAGCGGGUCUGAGAGGAUGAUCCGCCACACUGGGACUGAGACACGGCCCAGACUCCUACGGGAGGCAGCAGUGGGGAAUAUUGGACAAUGGGGGGAACCCUGAUCCAGCCAUGCCGCGUGUGUGAAGAAGGCCUUAUGGUUGUAAAGCACCUUAAGCGAGGAGGAGGCUCUUUUGGUCAAUACCCAAGAUGAGUGGACGUUACUCGCAGAAUAAGCACCGGCUAACUCUGUGCCAGCAGCCGCCGUAA